UAGGAGAUGAUAAAAAUACAUAUUAAGUAAUUUGUAGCCUGAUAUGCUUUGUAUGUAGAUUGCUUACGACUAACAUGAAAUGAGCAUUUCAUUCCUUAAGCAUGCAGUUGGGGAAAAAUGGGAGCCAGGCUGGAUGCACAAAUUUGCACCAGAUGCUCUGUAUCCAGGUAGCAGAAAUGACUAACAGCACUGGUAUCCAUCAGUCCCAGAGCAAAAGCAUCUCCAGAGGAGGACAUCUGUAAAUCCCAAAUCUGAUCUCCUUCAUCAUCAUUAGGCAACAGAUAGGAUAAGACUUCAUGAAGAGAAUUUUGGUGGCUUUAGAUUGUUGAGAAAGUAUAUAUAGGAAAAAACUGGAAAUUAUGUCCAAGAUUUUUUGUCUAACUCCUUAUCCUGAUAUUGUUAACAUUUCACAACUAAAAUAAUUUUAACAGACAAUUAGUUUUUAAAAAUGUAUUUUCAUGACCUGAGACUACAGAAAUUGCCAUUUUCUUAGGACGUAGUUUACAUUUGACUCUCUGCUUACUGUGUCCAGGGCAUCCCCAAAUUGGGAGAGAUUGCCAAGUCAGUUGCCAUUUUGCCUUACUUUUACCAAGGACUAGCCUACAGGUUCAGUUUUGCUCUUGACUUUGGCCCUGAAUUGAGAACUGAGUCAAGAGAACAGAGUGGAAGUAUGGAGCCAAAGCCAGCAGCUUUACUCAAAAAAUAUAUAUGAGUCUAGUAUUUUUUUUGUUUUUGAAAGACAUGUUACUGAGCCCAACCCAGUCAGGGAUCACUGAAUAUUGAGUUAAAUAAAACAAUAAUGUUAUUCAUGUGUUUGAAAUUAAUGUUUUAAAGAACCAUGCACACACUUUAAAAUGUAACUGGAUUUGCUAUAUAGGCCAGAGAAAUAUGGCUGUUACGAUGAAGGCGUAACUUCUCUGGUUCUUGAUUAUUUACACCAUUAGAGAAGAAUGCAAAUAUGAAUAGCUCAGAGUAGUUUAACUUUGAAGUGAGAGUUUAUAUGCACCUUUAUAUGUGGGAUAACUGAUGUCUUUGGAAUAGACUUCAAAUGAAUGAUAAAAACACCUGUAAAGUGAUAGGACCUCUACUUUUUCUCAUGUCCAAUGUUCAGUUUCUUAUAAACCAGGCAUGAAGAGAAACAAAAAGUAAUUAAUUCUCCAGAUCAUGAAGUUGUCUUCAACCUAAGCACAGAGGUAUAAUAAUUACAUUUCUCAGAAGUUCCCCCUCUGUUUUGAGUCUCAAGGGCAAUUGAGAUGUCAGUGAGGCUGUGAUUAAAUGUAUUGGAUAUUAGAGGAUUUUAGAUACAAACAAGUAUUAUAGGUGUUACCACUGACCCCGAAGGUAAGAUUUACUGUGAAAAUUUAUAAUGCAAGGAAGAAUGAUCAUUUUCAAAAUAUACACUUUGCAACUUAAGUUGGCUGUCACAACAACAAAAUAUUACAAACCAGGAUGUCUAAGAGCAGAAGUCCGUGGUUGCCAACUCUCAAGCCUCUUAGCUUAAUCCAAUCUAGGAUGCAUUUCCACUCUGCAACAAACAGUAUUUAUUUUUGCCUUAUUUGCAGAUAACAGUUUUAAUGCAGGUACUGCCCACGGAUUAGCUUUGAGCAGUGUCUUUUUGCUUUGGUUUUUUUAUUUGUUUGGUUUGUUUUGAGACUGAGUCUCACUCAGUCCUCCAGGCUGGAGUGCAGUGGUACGACUUUGGCUCACUGCAACCUCUGCCUCCCGGGUUCAAGCGAGUCUCCUGCCUCAGCCUCCCAAGUAGCUGGGACUACAGGCGUGAGCCACCAUCCCCGGCCAAGCAGUAUCUUUUUGCUUUGAAAGUGACUUACAUGUACAUUUGUUUUCCUUGUGAAUGUUUCUUUUUAACUGCAAACUAACAAACAUUGAGCCCAGCAUUCAUAUAUUUGCAAACUCUGUCUUAAUUUCUCAGUUUUUUUCCUUAGAAAAAAUGCAAUUCCUUUUCUUUUUUAAAUUUAAUUUUGCUUUAUUUUUCUUUAUAAAGUGAAGAGUAGGUAGCAUGAAUUCCUCUUGCCCUUUGCUAUUUCAGUCUGGCAUCAGUAGCAAUUGUUGCUAUGUCCAGUUUUCAUUCAUGGAUUUUUCUGGGAUUGAAGAUGUGUUGAGUUCAAUGUUGAUUAUUUAAUUGAGCAGUAUAAGUAAAUUCAUUGGCUCUCCUUCCAGUUUAGUGAAUACUAAAUAUCAUCCAUGAUAUUUUAUACUUCUUACACUUCUGGAAUGCUAACCUGAAAAUAGAAGUUGUAAGUCAGGGAUGGUGGUAUGUGCCUCUAGUCUCAGCUAGUUGGGAGGCUGAGGCUUGAGCCCAGGCCUUCAAGGCUGUAGUGCACAAUGACUGUACUUGUGAAUAGCCACUGCACUCCAGCCUGGGCAACAUAGCAAGACUCCCACCCUUUAAGAAAAAAGAGAAGAGAGGAAAAAAUAGAAGUUGUGGAGAGGGAGGAGGAUGCUUGAAUACUUUGACCGUACUUGGCAUAAUAGACAUUUUGAGGGUUUUUUUUUUUUCUUAAAAUUCCUCUGGAUCAGUUUUCAUUGUUUCUAGUAAUUAUAUUUAUCAUUAAUGAAUUCAUAUUCUGCUCUAGUCCCUAAAGAUAGUUUGAUAUGCUAACUUUUGUUUUGCCUUUCUAGCUGCUAAGAUAGAUAAUGGUUAUUGCAAAAUGCACGUUUUUAAAUGGUCUCCAGUGUGGAUUGCUUCUGAGCUGCUGAUGGAUUGAAUACAUUGAGAAGGAAUGUGUCAUUUGGAAUCCAGGACCAGUCAGCAAGGAUAACUGCCUGAUUUUAUGGUCAGAAUGCUCUAACUCUUAUGGCAUACUGAUGACUUUUUCUUCCAUUUUCCAAAAAAGCAAGUUUUGUCAGUCUCAGUGUUUCUCUGAUCUAGCUACUCACGAUUCCAUUCCCAAAGUAGUGACCUAGUUCUGUCACUUGGGUUUCAAAGGGAGUUGAAGUGUCAGUGAGUACAGCAAACCUGUUUAAUGAUUUAUAGGAAGCAAAUAAAAAGAAUUUUGUUUGCUAACCUAGAAGUAUAUCAAAUUUUGGUUUCAAUUUAUAAUUUUGCAAAAUAUAAAGACAUUUCCUGGCUAACUCCAUCCAGAUGAAUUAUUCAGUAUUUUUUCUCCUGUCUUAAUGAAGUUAAUUUGAAUGCUAAUUUCCUAUAACCAAGAAAACAGUUGAAUUAAAUAACCCUUAUCUUUUAAACUUAAAGCUUAUACUACUAAUAAUCAUUUAACAUUCACUUCCUUCUUUCUGACUUAAUUGGUAGGUAAAUAAAAUACUUCAAAUUUGAUUGGCAAAUUGGAAAAUCACUUAGAACAAUCUGCUAGUAUUUUUUAUUCCCUUUGUUUUUUCCUUUACACAUUUGUACUGCAAAAUAAAUCAAGGACAAAGACUCACACUGAAUUGAUCAACUUGUGUUUGGUCUUCAUGGGAAUUACAUCUUUUUUCCCCUCAACAUUUAUUAAAGGAACAUACAGAAUUUCAGACUAUAGCAAACUAAUACCUUUAGCUUGACUAAGAGUUGAUUUUCGUUAAGGAACAGAACUUGUAAUUUAUUUCGACAUACUUUAAUGUAUGACUCAUCCCUGUUAAAGUUGUGAGACUCAAAACUACGCCCAAAUCACUUAAUUUUAUGUCCUUCCCUGUUUACUGUGUCUGACCUUCAAGAUUUCGUGACUGAUGCUGAAAUGGAAGCCAACCACUGCAGAAAUUUGGGGGAAAAUGAGAUCUGAAGAAUACAAGGGGAAGUAGGAAUUCAUUUCUAGCAUUUCCAAACCUGCUUAAUCGUGUCUGCUCCACCACAGUCAGAGGAAAAGACUGAGUUCAUGGAAAUUACCAGCUAAGCCUUACAUCUGUCUUUAAUGUUUUUAGGAAGUAUACUGAAAAGGUAAGUGAGAUGUCUGUUUUGAAGAGAGACUCUUACUGGGUACCUUAAAACCCGUUGUUUCCUAUUAGUAAAGAUGGGCAGCUUCUUUAUUCCUAGCUUCAAAAAGCCUUGCCCCUGUUCGGUGUGUUUCUCAGUAUUGUGGAGAAGGUAGUUUCUGAGCAAGGUGGUGCUUUUCCUCUGCUUCUCAGCAGCUAAGACAGAAAUUGCACCGAAGUGUACAAAGGGCCAAUUUUUGUUGUCCUGUUGUGCUCAAAUCCUUUUUUUAAAAAAGUUAUUUCAAUCAAGUCUUAGUUUUAUUCCUCACUAUAUAGGAAAAAAAUCUUUAAUGCCUCAAAAGUUCCAGUCAGCAUUACAUUUGCAUUACUCUUAUUUGCAGCAAAUAUGAGUAAAAUUGUAGGUUUUUAAAGGUCUCUAAUAACAUCCACUUAUAUUGGUUUUGUAGAUAAUCCAUAAAUUACCAGAAAUAAAUUAUUCCACAUUUAUUACACACCCAUGUAAUAGAUGUCGUGCCAGGCCCUGGAAUAUACUAAUGGCAUCACCUCAUGUGGUAAAAAGACACAUUCCGCCAUCCUGGAGUAUACAAAGGUAGACUAGCAUAUAGUUCAUGUGCUCAAGGAGUUCAUUUUUAUUGACAUGAUACAGAUAGAAUUGUAGUUUAGGGAAUCAAAAUAUAAUAAAAUGAGGCUAAUUCCAUUUUCCCAUUAACACUAAUAACUAGUGUGUAAAUCUGAAUAUGACACAUUCUAUAUGAAAGAAGCUCUGUGUGCAUCUACACUAAAUACUCGUGUGUGCCAGGUACUAUUUUAAACUACGUAUAUUUUUUUAAUUCUCAUAACUGUUCUCUGAGGUAAGUACUAAUACUAAAGCUAUUGUCAAAGGAAGGCAGAAAAAUUAAGUAACUUGGCCUAAGUUUGCAUAACUGUGAUCUGGGAUCAAUAUUUGAACCCAUACAGGCUGAUUGCAGAGCCUGCACUCUUAAUUUGAGUGUGAUAUUUAUGUGCAGUACCUGGCUAUAAGUACCCACAAAACGUUUCAAAUUCUUUAUAAAAUUUGCUUAGUUAAAAAAGUACCAAUUGCAUAAUAUGGUUAUAAGUCUGGUAGAAGUUAGGCUUUUUACAAGACAUGCUGCUUACUGCACCAAGGAGGCAAGAAGUCUUUUUAGAGAGCCCAAAAUUUCCUUUCCUCAACUCCUGCUUCCAAGACAGUCAUUUUGCAUGAUAACCGUUUCCCCAAAAAACACAGACACAAAAUUUAAAGAACUGGAACAGAGGAAGCAGAGCUUAUCAUAGUAUAUAUAUUUAGUACCCUGUCACUUAGGUCCACCCCUCUUUCUUUGUGGAUUGUGGACAUUUUGUUUAACUGCUAAAUCAUGAGAAUAUAUGACUGCUGAGACUUUUCCAAGGAUUUUUUAAAAAACACAUUAGGCUUCGUGCAGAAGUAAAGAAAAAGUGCUGUGAGAACCCCAGGUAGGUAAUUUACUUCCUAUUGUACUCAUAGUUUGUUUGAAACCUCUUCACCUCUAUCCCUUAUUGUUUUAUACUCUGUAAAUCUGAUUUUACCUUUAAUAAACUUUUCUGAAGUGA
RNAcentral lists this long non-coding RNA (5475 nucleotides) under Pan troglodytes (chimpanzee). Its description in RNAcentral is "lincRNA". Lineage: Eukaryota; Metazoa; Chordata; Mammalia; Primates; Hominidae. The record is from RNAcentral.